Molecule: unclassified non-coding RNA, 343 nt
Filed under: soil metagenome
Description: partial contains 5.8S ribosomal RNA, internal transcribed spacer 2, and large subunit ribosomal RNA
Rfam family: 5.8S ribosomal RNA (bases 1-120)
Source: RNAcentral
GAUGAAGAACGUAGCGAAAUGCGAUAAGUAAUGUGAAUUGCAGAAUUCAGUGAAUCAUCGAAUCUUUGAACGCACAUUGCGCCCGCCAGCAUUCUGGCGGGCAUGCCUGUUCGAGCGUCAUUUCAACCCUCGAGCCCCCCCGGGGGCCUCGGUGUUGGGGGACGGCACACCAGCCGCCCCCGAAAUGCAGUGGCGACCCCGCCGCAGCCUCCCCUGCGUAGUAGCACACACCUCGCACCGGAGCGCGGAGGCGGUCACGCCGUAAAACGCCCAACUUUCUUAGAGUUGACCUCGGAUCAGGUAGAAAUACCCGCUGAACUUAAGCAUAUCAAUAAGCGGAGGA